UUUCAAAUUUCAAAGAGUUGUCUGUUGAUUUGAAAUUAGCUCAAAGUGAAGUGAUACCUAAUUCGAUUGUGUUAUUACUAGUGGUAGAUUUAUUCAAAAUGUGGUUUGUGUGUUCGGUAAUCAAAAUAAACAGUACUUAAACAAUGUAAACAUGGCUGAUGGCACUCAGUCACUCAGUCAAAAAUCAAGAACAGUUUCACUCAAGAACCCUUCGCCAAAAAGUCGACAGAAGAUAACAAAGCCCUUGUUCUAAUUGGAGAAGUAAAAAUUAAAUCCGCAUCUAAUCUGCAGAUUAUUGCGAAAACUGAAGCAAACAGUUUCAAGUGGUACAUAUAUUGAAGAUUAACCAAAGAUACGACGAUACUUUCCAAAUUUCGGUCGGUUGGAACAUCUAUGUCUACUUUAGCCAUAGUAUCUGCGAGAAAAAGAAAAAAACACGAUGGAAGAUUUUGGCAAAUAAUUUCGAACGAGUUCUGCAGACAAUACCAUUGUAGCUGUUCAUCAUCAUCGUAUUCUCUACAUGCUGCAAAUCCAAAGUCAUGUUUUUGAAUAGAUGGAUGAGAUUUUGAGGAACUGUAAUGUAUUUGUUCUCUUUUCCGGAAUACGAUUUGCGCCAAGAUAUCCAUCUUUUCAAUUGUCUGAAAGUGAAAAUGGAACGACGUGAACGUGAAGAAUGAAUUAAGAUAUACCUGGUGAGUUAAU
Molecule: long non-coding RNA, 702 nt
Organism: Planococcus citri (citrus mealybug)
Lineage: Eukaryota; Metazoa; Arthropoda; Insecta; Hemiptera; Pseudococcidae
Exons: 3
Source: RefSeq, a predicted model, not a curated record